CUAGUACUCCCUCCGUCCCAAAAUUCUUGUCUUGAAUUCGUCUACAUACGGAUGUAUCUAUUCACAUUUUAGUGAAUAGAUACAUCCGUAUGUAGACGAAUUCAAGACAAGAAUUUUGGGACGGAGGGAGUACUUU
Non-coding RNA from Triticum aestivum (bread wheat), 136 nucleotides. NCBI's taxonomy places the organism in Eukaryota, Viridiplantae, Streptophyta, Magnoliopsida, Poales, Poaceae. The record is from Rfam.